RNAcentral lists this ribosomal RNA (539 nucleotides) under uncultured bacterium. Its description in RNAcentral is "bacterial SSU rRNA". It matches the Rfam family "Bacterial small subunit ribosomal RNA", at positions 355 to 896 of the family's 1533-position model. The record is from RNAcentral.
UGAGGAAUAUUGGUCAAUGGACGGAAGUCUGAACCAGCCAAGUAGCGUGCAGGAAGACGGCCCUAUGGGUUGUAAACUGCUUUUGUAUGGGGAUAAAGUCAAUCACGUGUGAUUGUUUGCAGGUACCAUACGAAUAAGGACCGGCUAAUUCCGUGCCAGCAGCCGCGGUAAUACGGAAGGUCCGGGCGUUAUCCGGAUUUAUUGGGUUUAAAGGGAGCGUAGGCUGGAGAUUAAGUGUGUUGUGAAAUGUAGACGCUCAACGUCUGACUUGCAGCGCAUACUGGUUUCCUUGAGUACGCACAACGUUGGCGGAAUUCGUCGUGUAGCGGUGAAAUGCUUAGAUAUGACGAAGAACUCCGAUUGCGAAGGCAGCUGACGGGAGCGCAACUGACGCUGAAGCUCGAAGGUGCGGGUAUCGAACAGGAUUAGAUACCCUGGUAGUCCGCACAGUAAACGAUGGAUGCCCGCUGUUGGUACCUGGUAUCAGCGGCUAAGCGAAAGCAUUAAGCAUCCCACCUGGGGAGUACGCCGGCACGGUG